Molecule: long non-coding RNA, 309 nt
Organism: Passer domesticus (house sparrow)
Lineage: Eukaryota; Metazoa; Chordata; Aves; Passeriformes; Passeridae
Exons: 2
Source: RefSeq, a predicted model, not a curated record
GCAUCCUCUAAUCCUCCCUGCAAACACUGAUGAACAGGAGAACACAAAUGCUAGAGCACACCGAGUAACACGCUGGAUGAUCUGUUUCCUUCUUCCCUUGGAUGAGACCACUUACCCUGCUGUGUGCUACAAAAGAUGGGAAGAAAUGCCUUCCCCAGAAGCACUGUGUACAGCAGCUGGGCACCCCAGGCUAGAGCAAUUUGGAGAAACACCUUCCCUACCCACUUCACCUGCUCCUUUCUUGGGGGUUUCUUGCUAUGGCAUGGCACUGUUGGGAAGAGUAUAGAGAAAUAAAAUACUCAACCAAGU